Cynoglossus semilaevis (tongue sole) is the source of this 2718-nucleotide RNA transcript. It is a transcript of the gene named heterogeneous nuclear ribonucleoprotein Q, with no coding region annotated. NCBI's taxonomy places the organism in Eukaryota, Metazoa, Chordata, Actinopteri, Pleuronectiformes, Cynoglossidae. The record is from RefSeq and is a predicted model, not a curated record. The transcript has 13 exons.
ACAGUUCUGGCGACGUUACGUCGUCGCCAUUUUGUUUUACCGGGAGUGCAGAAACAGUAGCGGCAGUAGCAGCGGAGUGUUUCUGUUCUUCUCCGCAGCACGAACCGUCAACCCGGCACUGCCGCAUCGUGCAGACAACGCCAAGGUCGCAUGAUGUCUGAAGACAUGGCCGCCGACCACGUCAACGGUAACGGCACGGAGGAGCCCAUGGACACGACGGCUGCAGUGACCCACUCAGAACACUUCAGUUCUCUGCUGGAGGCUGGACUACCUCAGAAGGUGGCGGAGAAGCUGGAUGAACUCUAUGUAGCAGGUCUGUUGGCUCACAGUGAUCUGGAUGAAAGAGCCAUCGAAGCUUUGAAGGAGUUCAACGAGGAGGGGGCGCUGCAGGUGUUGGCCCAGUUCAAGGACAGUGACCUGUCCCACGUCCAGAACAAAAGUGCCUUCCUGUGUGGAGUGAUGAAGACGUACAGGCAGAGGGAGAAACAGGGGACCAAGGUUUCAGACUCAACCAAAGGACCCGACGAAGCUAAGAUCAAAGAACUCCUGGACAGAACCCAGUACACCCUGGACGUCACUACAGGACAGCGCAAGUACGGAGGGCCCCCCCCAGAGACCGUGUACUCAGGUCCACAGCCCACAUGUGGGACAGAGAUCUUUGUGGGGAAGAUUCCUCGGGACCUGUUUGAAGACGAGCUGGUUCCUCUCUUUGAAGAAGCCGGUCCAAUCUGGGACCUGCGGCUGAUGAUGGAGCCGCUGACGGGUUUGAACCGAGGCUACGCCUUCGUCACCUUCUGUACUAAAGAAGCCACUCAGGAGGCCGUGAAGCUGUGCAACAAUCACGAGAUCCGUCCUGGCAAACAGAUUGGUGUGUGUAUAUCUGUGGCCAACAACCGUCUGUUUGUCGGUUCAAUUCCAAAGAGUAAAACAAAGGAGCAGAUUGUUGAGGAGUUCUCAAAGGUCACAGAGGGCCUCGGCGACGUCAUACUCUACCAUCAACCCGACGACAAGAAGAAGAACCGCGGCUUCUGCUUCUUGGAGUACGAGGACCAUAAAACGGCGGCUCAGGCCCGGCGGCGGCUGAUGAGCGGGAAGGUCAAGGUGUGGGGCAACGUGGUGACGGUGGAGUGGGCCGACCCCAUCGAGGACCCCGACCCUGAGGUCAUGUCCAAGGUCAAAGUUUUAUUUGUCAGGAAUCUGGCCAAUGGCGUCACAGAAGAACUUCUGGAGAAAUCCUUCAGUGAGUUUGGAAAACUGGAGCGAGUGAAGAAGCUGAAGGACUACGCCUUCAUCCACUUUGAGGAGAGGGACGCAGCAGUCAAGGCUCUGGAGGACAUGAACGGGAGGGAGAUGGAGGGAGAACCCAUCGAGAUCGUUUUUGCCAAACCUCCAGACCAGAAGAGGAAGGAGCGAAAGGCCCAGAGACAAGCGGCCAAAACUCAAAUGUAUGAUGACUACUACUACUACCCUCAUGCUCAGCACAUGCCUCCCCCUGUGAGGGGGCGUGGCCGUGGAGGCAACCGCGGAGGAUACUCCUACCCUCCGGACUACUACGGGUACGAGGAUUACUACGACUAUUAUGGCUACGACUACCACAGCUACCGCGGGGGCUACGAGGACCCCUACUAUGGCGGUUACGAUGACUUCCAGCCUCGCAGCCGCGGCGGAGGAGGUGGCGGCGGCAGCCGGGGCCCGCGCGGCGGAGCUUCUCCGGCCAGGGGCCGCGGGGGAAGCGGCGCUGGUGGCGGCGUACCUCGGGGCAGACCGACCUUCCCCCAGCGAGGGAGUCCAGGACCUGGCCGGGGCGGACGCGGUGCUAGAGGAGGAGUCGGAGGCAUCGGAGUGCAGCCCAGAGGGCGUGGAGGGGUACGUGGUGUGAGGGGCGGCCGCGGUGGAAAUGUAGGAGGAAAACGCAAAGCUGACGGUUACAACCAACCAGAUUCCAAGCGUCGCCAGACCAAUAAUCAGAACUGGGGCUCGCAACCUAUUGCUCAGCAGCCGCUCCAAGGUGGUGACCACUCUGGUUUGGUCUGGUGGUGGGGCUAGUGGCCAACACACCUUUUUAUUUUGGCUCUUGUGUCCAAAUCAUGUCCUUCCAACUCCUGCUGGUUCUGUCAGCAGGGGGCGCCAACGGCAGUCACCAGUGUCUGGUACAUUAUUAAACCACCCAGAUCAUUUCCUACUCAUGCUUGGUACGGGGGUGUCUCGUUUUGAUGUUUAAUUGACAACAUCAGUGUGUGUGUGUGUGUGUGUGUCCUUGUUCUCCCUGCUCUAAUUCUCUGCUUCCUUCUCUGACCUGGGCAGCAGGAUCAUGGACUGGAGGCUGGUCCUGAAGUCUGGUUCUGAGGCUGGUCACCGACAUCUACCAGUGCUGCCACUGACGCCACCGCUGGUAGACUGAGGAAUGAACACGCAGUCCGUCCAAGGUUCCUGACGUGACCUCUGACCUCCUGACCAUGGCCCUGACCUCUAGGGGAAACCCUUGGUUUUGUGAAGUCAAGGUCCCAGAAGUCUUUGUAGGAUCUGGUCCUUGUUGGUACUGAAGACCUACAGCCAUGGUUUCAGGUGGAGAACCUGGUCCAGAGCUGCUCCUCCUGCUGCUCCUCCUCCUCCUGCUCGUCUUCCUCUUUUGAAUUUUUAUGUCCUAUAUAAUAUUUAUAUUUUGUACAUUCUGAGUAUUUUUAUAAUAAAAACUUAAACUCCAACAUUUUUGUGCAU